UACGUAGGGGGCUAGCGUUGUCCGGAAUCAUUGGGCGUAAAGAGCGUGUAGGCGGCCCGGUAAGUCCGCUGUGAAAGUCGGGGGCUCAACCCUCGAAUGCCGGUGGAUACUGUCGGGCUAGAGUGCGGAAGAGGCGAGUGGAAUUCCUGGUGUAGCGGUGAAAUGCGCAGAUAUCAGGAGGAACACCAAUUGCGAAGGCAGCUCCCUGGGACGGUACUGACGCUGAGACGCGAAAGCGUGGGGAGCGAACAGG
This 253-nucleotide ribosomal RNA is filed under the name uncultured bacterium. Its description in RNAcentral is "partial 16S ribosomal RNA". It matches the Rfam family "Bacterial small subunit ribosomal RNA", at positions 524 to 776 of the family's 1533-position model. The record is from RNAcentral.